Datura stramonium (jimsonweed) is the source of this 72-nucleotide non-coding RNA. The record is from the annotation of a GenBank genome assembly. Lineage: Eukaryota; Viridiplantae; Streptophyta; Magnoliopsida; Solanales; Solanaceae.
GUCAUCUUAGCUCAGCGGCAGAGCGCAUGGCUUUUAACCACAUGGUUGUGGGUUUGAUCCCCACAAAAGGCG